RNAcentral lists this long non-coding RNA (401 nucleotides) under Salvia miltiorrhiza (redroot sage). RNAcentral describes it as "long non-coding RNA (SMIL_LNC011261)". Lineage: Eukaryota; Viridiplantae; Streptophyta; Magnoliopsida; Lamiales; Lamiaceae. The record is from RNAcentral.
UAAAGUUUUUGACAGUCCGUACAAUUCGUUUUUGUAUUGGUGAAACGAGAAACCAACACCUAAUCUAGAAAGCAGUAAACGACACGGAUUUACGUGGUUCGGUCGAGAAGACCUACGUCCACGGGGUGUUGGGGGUUUUUCCACUAUACUUCAAGAGAAUUACAUUUUACAAGAGAUGAAUGAAUAAUGAGAUGAUGCCCUAAUCUAUGACCCCAAGGCCCUAUUUAUAAGUAUGAACAUAAACUUAAGGCCCUUAGGCCCAUUAGACCCUUAAAGCCCAUUAGCCCAAUGAAUUAAGCCCAAACCCCGUUAUUCUAAUCUACAUCUUGCAAUUGAGCCAUCAGAGCUGGAAAGCGGAGCCGAGCUGAGCCAAGCCGAAAGUCAGGGCAAUCCUGUAUCAN